This 434-nucleotide long non-coding RNA is filed under the name Olea europaea (common olive). RNAcentral describes it as "long non-coding RNA (OEUR_LNC012999)". Lineage: Eukaryota; Viridiplantae; Streptophyta; Magnoliopsida; Lamiales; Oleaceae. The record is from RNAcentral.
AUUUUCCGAGUGACUGGCCGGAACUUGCGAUCGCCGGUAAGGGCGCGUCCGACGUCGGAAUUGGAUGAUUUUUUAGUCGAAGGUUCGCCUUUUCAUGGGUAAUCUGAUGGUCUGGCGCGUGUCCCUGUUUGAGCUCUGUGGAAGGGUUAAUUGAAAAAUUAGUUUUCGGCACCUCGGGAUUCGAUAUGUCAAUUUCGGGCGAUUUGGACGAAAUCUCUACCACCCCCAGGGUUUUCGGCCCCUCUGGAAUCAUUGGUGAUGGUCCCAUAUCCAAAUUCUGAUCAGAAGUGGGUGUUUCGACGACCUUGGGAUUCGUGCCAUGAUUUUUCAAACUCAGAUCUAUUGAGUUGGGGGAUGAAUCUGAUAUUGGUGUUAUAGGAGAUGUUUGGGUGGUUGUUGGUGAUGAUUUUCCACCACUUAGAGUGCUGCAAUCC